Molecule: non-coding RNA, 109 nt
Organism: Acanthosepion pharaonis
Lineage: Eukaryota; Metazoa; Mollusca; Cephalopoda; Sepiida; Sepiidae
Source: the annotation of a GenBank genome assembly
GCCAACAUCACGUUGGAACACCGGUUCCCGUACGAUCACCGAAGUCAGGCAACGCGGAGCCGGGUCACUACCUAGAUGAGUGACCAUUUCGGAAUACCAAGUGCUGUAA